AACGAACGCUGGCGGCAGGCUUAACACAUGCAAGUCGAACGCAUCCUUCGGGGUGAGUGGCAGACGGGUGAGUAACGCGUGGGAACGUGCCCUUCAGUUCGGGAUAACCCAGGGAAACUUGGGCUAAUACCGGAUACGUGCGAGGGCAGAAAGAUUAUAUCGCUGAAGGAUCGGCCCGCGUCUGAUUAGCUAGUUGGUGGGGUAAUGGCCCACCAAGGCGGCGAUCAGUAGCUGGUCUGAGAGGAUGAUCAGCCACAUUGGGACUGAGACACGGCCCAAACUCCUACGGGAGGCAGCAGUGGGGAAUAUUGGACAAUGGGCGCAAGCCUGAUCCAGCCAUGCCGCGUGAGUGAUGAAGGCCUUAGGGUUGUAAAGCUCUUUCGUCCGGGACGAUAAUGACGGUACCGGAAGAAGAAGCCCCGGCUAACUUCGUGCCAGCAGCCGCCGUAA
Molecule: ribosomal RNA, 450 nt
Filed under: uncultured bacterium
Lineage: Bacteria
Description: partial 16S ribosomal RNA
Rfam family: Bacterial small subunit ribosomal RNA
Source: RNAcentral